AAUUUUUUGUUUGUAACCAGUAGACGUUUCAUCGAUCAUCUAUCAUUCAAGCAGCAGGAUUCACGUAGACAAAAUGCAUUGUACACAGCGAGAUUCAACCACAGUAUUUUUGUUGACUUUAUUCGUGUUUGACAAAGAUGUUAUUGGAUAUCGAGGCACUUCUGGAAUUGUACCAGCACCCUCGAUAUCCCAAUUUCAAUCUUCCGAAACCAACAAGAUCAAAAGUACCUAGACGGAAACCCAUACAAAUGCAAGGAAGAAUUUUAUAAUUUAAGUUAAAUAUUGUAUUGAAAAUUUCAAAUUAAGCGGUACAUCACAAAUGAAUCUACACAAAGUCAAGAUUAGCCCAGGAGUUGCAUUUUUCUUAAAAAUGUAUCAGAACGUUUCAACGAUCAUCUAUCAUUCAAGCAGCAGGAUUCACGUAGACAAAAUGCAUUGUACACAGCGAGAUUCAACCACAGUAUUUUUAUUGACUUUUUUCGUGUUUGACAAAGACGUUAUUUGAUAUCAAGGCAGUUCUGGAAUUGUACCAGCACCCUCGAUAUCCCAAUUUCAAUCUUCCGAAACCAACAAGAUUAAAAGUACCUAGACGGAAACCCAUAUAAAUACAAGGAAGAAUUUUAUAAUUUAAGUUAAAUAUUGUAUUAAAAAUUUCAAAUUAAGCGGUACAUCACAAAUGAAUCUACACAAAGUCAAGAUUACCCUUGGAGUUGCAUUUUUCUUAAAAUUGUAUCAGAACGUUUCAACGAUCAUCUAUCAUUCAAGCAGCAGGAUUCACGUAGACAAAAUGCAUUGUACACAGCGAGAUUCAACCACAGUAUUUUUGUUGACUUUUUUCGUGUUUGACAAAGACGUUAUUUGAUAUCGAGGCAGUUCUGGAAUUGUACCAGCACCCUCGAUAUCCCAAUUUCAAUCUUCCGAAACCAACAAGAUUAAAAGUACCUAGACGGAAACCCAUAUAAAUACAAGGAAGAAUUUUAUAAUUUAAGUUAAAUAUUGUAUUAAAAAUUUCAAAUUAAGCGGUACAUCACAAAUGAAUCUACACAAAGUCAAGAUUACCCUUGGAGUUGCAUUUUUCUUAAAAUUGUAUCAGAACGUUUCAACGAUCAUCUAUCAUUCAAGCAGCAGGAUUCACGUAGACAAAAUGCAUUGUACACAGCGAGAUUCAACCACAGUAUUUUUGUUGACUUUUUUCGUGUUUGACAAAGACGUUAUUUGAUAUCGAGGCAGUUCUGGAAUUGUACCAGCACCCUCGAUAUCCCAAUUUCAAUCUUCCGAAACCAACAAGAUUAAAAGUACCUAGACGGAAACCCAUACAAAUGCAAGGAAGAAUUUUAUAAUUUAAGUUAAAUAUUGUAUUGAAAAUUUCAAAUUAAGCGGUACAUCACAAAUGAAUCUACACAAAGUCAAGAUUACCCUUGGAGUUGCAUUUUUCUUAAAAAUAUAUCAGAACGUUUCAACGAUCAUCUAUCAUUCAAGCAGCAGGAUUCACGUAGACAAAAUGCAUUGUACACAGCGAGAUUCAACCACAGUAUUUUUGUUGACUUUUUUCGUGUUUGACAAAGACGUUAUUUGAUAUCAAGGCAGUUCUGGAAUUGUACCAGCACCCUCGAUAUCCCAAUUUCAAUCUUCCGAAACCAACAAGAUCAAAAGUACCUAGACGGAAACCCAUACAAAUACAAGGAAGAAUUUUAUAAUUUAAGUUAAAUAUUGUAUUGAAAAUUUCAAAUUAAGCGGUACAUCACAAAUGAAUCUACACAAAGUCAAGAUUAGCCCAGGAGUUGCAUUUUUCUUAAAAAUGUAUCAGAACGUUUCAUCGAUCAUCUAUCAUUCAAGCAGCAGGAUUCACGUAGACAAAAUGCAUUGUACACAGCGAGAUUCAACCACAGUAUUUUUGUUGACUUUAUUCGUGUUUGACAAAGACGUUAUUGGAUAUCGAGGCACUUCUGGAAUUGUACCAGCACCCUCGAUAUCCCAAUUUCAAUCUUCCGAAACCAACAAGAUUAAAAGUACCUAGACGGAAACCCAUACAAAUACAAGGAAUAAUUUUAUAAUUUAAGUUAAAUAUUGUAUUGAAAAUUUCAAAUUAAGCGGUACAUCACAAAUGAAUCUACACAAAGUCAAGAUUAGCCCAGGAGUUGCAUUUUUCUUAAAAAUGUAUCAGAACGUUUCAUCGAUCAUCUAUCAUUCAAGCAGCAGGAUUCACGUAGACAAAAUGCAUUGUACACAGCGAGAUUCAACCACAGUAUUUUUGUUGACUUUAUUCGUGUUUGACAAAGACGUUAUUGGAUAUCGAGGCAGUUCUGGAAUUGUACCAGCACCCUCGAUAUCCCAAUUUCAAUCUUCCGAAACCAACAAGAUCAAAAGUACCUAGACGGAAACCCAUACAAAUGCAAGGAAGAAUUUUAUAAUUUAAGUUAAAUAUUGUAUUGAAAAUUUCAAAUUAAGCGUUACAUCACAAAUGAAUCUACACAAAGUCAAGAUUAGUCCUGGAGUUGCAUUUUUCUUAAAAAUGUAUCAGAACGUUUCAACGAUCAUCUAUCAUUCAAGCAGCAGGAGUCACGUUGACAAAAUGCAUUGUACACAGCGAGUUCAACCACAGUAUUUUUGUUGACUUUUUUCGUGUUUGACAAAGACGUUAUUGGAUAUCGAGGCAGUUCUGGAAUUGUACCAGCACCCUCGAUAUCCCAAUUUCAAUCUUCCGAAACCAACAAGAUCAAAAGUACCUAGACGGAAACCCAUACAAAUGCAAGGAAGAAUUUUAUAAUUUAAGUUAAAUAUUGUAUUGAAAAUUUCAAAUUAAGCGGUACAUCACAAAUGAAUCUACACAAAGUCAAGAUUAGCCCAGGAGUUGCAUUUUUCUUAAAAAUGUAUCAGAUAGACGUUUCAACGAUCAUCUAUCAUUCAAGCAGCAGGAUUCACGUAGACAAAAUGCAUUGUACACAGCGAGAUUCAACCACAGUAUUUUUGUUGACUUUUUUCGUGUUUGACAAAGACGUUAUUUGAUAUCAAGGCAGUUCUGGAAUUGUACCAGCACCCUCGAUAUCCCAAUUUCAAUCUUCCGAAACCAACAAGAUUAAAAGUACCUAGACGGAAACCCAUAUAAAUACAAGGAAGAAUUUUAUAAUUUAAGUUAAAUAUUGUAUUAAAAAUUUCAAAUUAAGCGGUACAUCACAAAUGAAUCUACACAAAGUCAAGAUUACCCUUGGAGUUGCAUUUUUCUUAAAAUUGUAUCAGAACGUUUCAACGAUCAUCUAUCAUUCAAGCAGCAGGAUUCACGUAGACAAAAUGCAUUGUACACAGCGAGAUUCAACCACAGUAUUUUUGUUGACUUUUUUCGUGUUUGAGAAAGACGUUAUUGGAUAUCGAGGCAGUACUGGCAGAGUACCAGCACCCUCGAAAUCCCAAUUUCAAUCUUCCGAAACCAACAAGAUCAAAAGUACCUAGACGGAAACCCAUACAAAUGCAAGGAAGAAUUUUAUAAUUUAAGUUAAAUAUUGUAUUGAAAAUUUCAAAUUAAGCGUUACAUCACAAAUGAAUCUACACAAAAUCAAGAUUAGUCCUGGAGUUGCAUUUUUCUUAAAAAUGUAUCAGAACGUUUCAACGAUCAUCUAUCAUUCAAGCAGCAGGAGUCACGUAGACAAAAUGCAUUGUACACAGCGAGUUCAACCACAGUAUUUUUGUUGACUUUUUUCGUGUUUGAGAAAGACGUUAUUGGAUAUCGAGGCAGUACUGGCAGAGUACCAGCACCCUCGAAAUCCCAAUUUCAAUCUUCCGAAACCAACAAGAUCAAAAGUACCUAGACGGAAGCCCAUACAAAUGCAAGGAUGAAUAUUAUAAUUUAAGUUAAAUAUUGUAUUGAAAAUUUCAAAUUAAGCGGUACAUCACAAAUGAAUCUACACAAAGUCAAGAUUAGCCCUGGAGUUGCAUUUUUCUUAAAAAUGUAUCAGAACGUUUCAACGAUCAUCUAUCAUUCAAGCAGCAGGAGUCACGUAGUCAAAAUGCAUUGUACACAGCGAGUUCAACCACAGUAUUUUUGUUGACUUUUUUCGUGUUUGACAAAGACGUUAUUGGAUAUCGAGGCAGUUCUGGAAUUGUACCAGCACCCUCGAUAUCCCAAUUUCAAUCUUCCGAAACCAACAAGAUCAAAAGUACCUAGACGGAAACCCAUACAAAUGCAAGGAAGAAUUUUAUAAUUUAAGUUAAAUAUUGUAUUGAAAAUUUCAAAUUAAGCGGUACAUCACAAAUGAAUCUACACAAAGUCAAGAUUAGCCCAGGAGUUGCAUUUUUCUUAAAAAUGUAUCAGAACGUUUCAACGAUCAUCUAUCAUUCAAGCAGCAGGAGUCACGUAGACAAAAUGCAUUGUACACAGCGAGUUCAACCACAGUAUUUUUGUUGACUUUUUUCGUGUUUGAGAAAGACGUUAUUGGAUUUCGAGGCAGUACUGGCAGAGUACCAGCACCCUCGAAAUCCCAAUUUCAAUCUUCCGAAACCAACAAGAUCAAAAGUACCUAGACGGAAACCCAUACAAAUGCAAGGAAGAAUUUUAUAAUUUAAGUUAAAUAUUGUAUUGAAAAUUUCAAAUUAAGCGGUACAUCACAAAUGAAUCUACACAAAGUCAAGAUUAGCCCAGGAGUUGCAUUUUUCUUAAAAAUGUAUCAGAACGUUUCAACGAUCAUCUAUCAUUCAAGCAGCAGGAGUCACGUAGUCAAAAUGCAUUGUACAUAGCGAGUUCAACCACAGUAUUUUUGUUGACUUUUUUCGUGUUUGACAAAGUCGUUAUUGGAUAUCGAGGCAGUUCUGGAAUUGUACCAGCACCCUCGAUAUCCCAAUUUCAAUCUUCCGAAACCAACAAGAUCAAAAGUACCUAGACGGAAACCCAUACAAAUACAAUGAAGAAUUUUAUAAUUUUAGUUAAAUAUUGUAUUGAAAAUUUCAAAUUAAGCGGUACAUCACAAAUGAAUCUACACAAAGUCAAGAUUAGCCCUGGAGUUGCAUUUUUCUUAAAAAUGUAUCAGAACGUUUCAACGAUCAUCUAUCAUUCAAGCAGCAGGAGUCACGUAGUCAAAAUGCAUUGUACACAGCGAGUUCAACCACAGUAUUUUUGUUGACUUUUUUCGUGUUUGACAAAGACGUUAUUGGAUAUCGAGGCAGUUCUGGAAUUGUACCAGCACCCUCGAUAUCCCAAUUUCAAUCUUCCGAAACCAACAAGAUUAAAAGUACCUAGACGGAAACCCAUACAAAUACAAUGAAGAAUUUUAUAAUUUAAGUUAAAUAUUGUAUUGAAAAUUUCAAAUUAAGCGGUACAUCACAAAUGAAUCUACACAAAGUCAAGAUUAGCCCUGGAGUUGCAUUUUUCUUAAAAAUGUAUCAAAGUAAGAAUUUCAAGUUUCUAGUGAUUACCUGUAAUAAUUUUUUGUUUGUAACCAGUAGACGUUUCAACGAUCAUCCAUCAUUCAAGCAGCAGGAUUCACGUAGACAAAAUGCAUUGUACACAGCGAGUUCAACCACAGUAUUUUUGUUGACUUUUUUCGUGUUUGAGAAAGACGUUAUUGGAUAUCGAGGCAGUUCUGGAAUUGUACCAGCACCCUCGAUAUCCCAAUUUCAAUCUUCCGAAACCAACAAGAUUAAAAGUACCUAGACGGAAACCCAUACAAAUACAAGGAAGAAUUUUAUAAUUUAAGUUAAAUAUUGUAUUGAAAAUUUCAAAUUAAGCGGUACAUCACAAAUGAAUCUACACAAAGUCAAGAUUAGCCCAAGAGUUGCAUUUUUCUCAAAAAUGUAUCAGAACGUUUCAACGAUCAUCUAUCAUUCAAGCAGCAGGAGUCACGUAGACAAAAUGCAUUGUACACAACGAGUUCAACCACAGUAUUUUUGUUGACUUUUUUCGUGUUUGAGAAAGACGUUAUUGGAUAUCGAGGCAGUACUGGCAGAGUACCAGCACCCUCGAAAUCCCAAUUUCAAUCUUCCGAAACCAACAAGAUCAAAAGUACCUAGACGGAAGCCCAUACAAAUGCAAGGAAGAAUUUUAUAAUUUAAGUUAAAUAUUGUAUUGAAAAUUUCAAAUUAAGCGGUACAUCACAAAUGAAUCUACACAAAGUCAAGAUUAGCCCAAGAGUUGCAUUUUUCUCAAAAAUGUAUCAGAACGUUUCAACGAUCAUCUAUCAUUCAAGCAGCAGGAGUCACGUAGACAAAAUGCAUUGUACACAACGAGUUCAACCACAGUAUUUUUGUUGACUUUUUUCGUGUUUGAGAAAGACGUUAUUGGAUAUCGAGGCAGUACUGGCAGAGUACCAGCACCCUCGAAAUCCCAAUUUCAAUCUUCCGAAACCAACAAGAUCAAAAGUACCUAGACGGAAGCCCAUACAAAUGCAAGGAAGAAUUUUAUAAUUUAAGUUAAAUAUUGUAUUGAAAAUUUCAAAUUAAGCGGUACAUCACAAAUGAAUCUACACAAAGUCAAGAUUAGCCCUGGAGUUGCAUUUUUCUUAAAAAUGUAUCUGAGUAAGAAUUUCAAGU
Acyrthosiphon pisum (pea aphid) is the source of this 6516-nucleotide long non-coding RNA. RefSeq lists it as uncharacterized. The record is from RefSeq and is a predicted model, not a curated record. NCBI's taxonomy places the organism in Eukaryota, Metazoa, Arthropoda, Insecta, Hemiptera, Aphididae. The transcript has 35 exons.